GCUCACUGAUAAAUUUAUUAAAGAGCUGCGGUAUAUUGACUGUACAAAGGUAGCAUAAUCAUUAGUUUUUUAAUUGAAAACUUGUAUGAAUGGUUUGACAAAAUAAAUAUUGUCUCUUUUAUUGAAAUAAAACUUAACUUUUAAGUGAAAAGGCUUAAAUUGUUCUAAGGGACGAUAAGACCCUAUAAAGCUUUAUAUUUGUAUUUUAUUUUAAAAAAUUAAAUUAAUUGUAAAUUUAAGAUAUUUUAAUUGAUUGGGGCGAUGUAUAAAUAAUUUAUUUAACUUUAUUAAGUUAUAACAUUUUAUGUAUGAAGUAAUUAAUAGAUCCUUGUUAAAGAUUAAAGUAAAGUUACUUUAGGGAUAACAGCGUUAUUUUUUUUGAGAGUUCAUAUCGAAAAAAGAGAUUGCGACCUCGAUGUUGAAUUAAAAAUUCUGCUUAGUGUAGCCGCUAAGAUAAGAAGGUCUGUUCGACCUCUAAAUUUUUACGUGAUCUG
Molecule: ribosomal RNA, 494 nt
Filed under: Euclosiana crosnieri
Lineage: Eukaryota; Metazoa; Arthropoda; Malacostraca; Decapoda; Leucosiidae
Description: partial 16S ribosomal RNA
Rfam family: Bacterial large subunit ribosomal RNA
Source: RNAcentral